Astatotilapia calliptera (eastern happy) is the source of this 1468-nucleotide long non-coding RNA. The record is from Ensembl. Lineage: Eukaryota; Metazoa; Chordata; Actinopteri; Cichliformes; Cichlidae.
CCUGCAUGUGCGAGAGCGAGCGAGACCCGGGACAACGUCAUCCGCCUCGCCUGGACUAGUCCCCCGGCCGGAGGAGGGACAGUGGCUGCACUGUGCAGCCGAAGACUCACUUUGAUCGCACAGGAGACGAGCGACGCAACCGGUCCACCGUCCAUGCAAACUGCGCCAGGCAGCGUAUUGCACGCUGGAGGACACCGAGGAAAGUCACAGUAGGAGCGGCGCUUAGUGAGAGGUGAUGUCGGGGGGACAUGGCUUCUUCUCCGGUCACCCCAGCAUCGCUUGAAGGAGAAACACCUUCACCCACCGGGAACGAGGAGCCCGCGACCACCCGACAGAUCCUUCACAGCAUGUUGUUUCUGGGCAAAAUCAACAACAUCCCCUUUUCUCCAGAAGAAAUCUUCCCUAAUCCUUUUGUUUUGGGUUCUUUAAUGAGAAGAUAUCCCAGGCCUUUUAAGUUGUAUUCGACUCAGCUUCCCAGGCGAAGUCCCUUCUCCUGUGUGCUCGACAUGAUCGUCCUGCAAAAUAACUCAGAGAAUGAAGAGCAAAUAAAGCAGAGUCUGCAAGAUCUCCUCACAGACUUGGACUUAGAAGAGAAUAAUAAAAAAACAGCUUUCGUCUCGUCCACCAUCUGCAUUUCUCAAAAAUCCCAAACCAACAAAUCAGAAAGGUACUGCGGAGUCUCCAUGUCCACCAAAGGUCCUAACGCUGGGAAAAUUAUGAUUGCUGCCUCCUGUCUUAGCAAAUGGCAUAAAUAUGUAUCUGGUGCGGUGAUGACCUAUUAUCCAAACACAGUCCAGAAAGAUUACUUUGAUGGAACAAUUGAAGUACCUGGAAAUAUCAGGUGUGAGGCUUUUUGUCUCCGUGAUGGUGCCAGAAUGAAGCCUUGCAGAUCAUGUAAGAAUUUGUUUGGCUUGAACACAGAAGACCUCAGAGAGUGGCCAUAUGGUAACUGUGCUGAAGCUGAGAGCCUGAGCAAUUUGCUUGAAAAUGAGAGAGAAGUUGAAACACAUGUGGAUGAAUACUCAGCUGAAAAGGACAACAGGCAGAGAGCUGAGGAUGAGGUUGAUGGGUUCUUAGAACUGUGUUGCAAAGGAUUCGGUUUAACUGGACAGGUGAAUUUUACAACCCAGAACAAGAGUGAGAUUUCAUGAAAUCAUUUGCAUUCAUCAUUCUGAUAAAUCAAAGAUUCUCUGCUCUGACAGCAUCUGUGUGGAUUUUCUGUAAUCACAGAGACGUGUAUAAGCAUGUUUACUUUCCAUCUCCAUGUAAUUGUCACAUUUAAUAAUUAAAACUGGCUUCUAUGGGUUUUUGUUUGUUUGCUUACAUAUCUAGUGUUUAAUGCAAUAUGAAGCAUUAUCAGACAGCAUUUAUUGGGAAGAAUCCCAUGUUUAUACUGGUCUGUACCCAGGGUACACAGAAAAUAAAAACAUGUUUUCUUAUUAUGAUCCCAACUAUAAUUUACUUAAGC